GAGGGUAUAGCUCAGUGGUAGAGUGCAUGCCUAGCAUGCACAAGGUCCCGGGCUCAAUCCCCAGCAUCUCCA
This 72-nucleotide transfer RNA is filed under the name Camelus bactrianus (Bactrian camel). It matches the Rfam family "tRNA". From Rfam's summary of the family: Transfer RNA (tRNA) molecules are approximately 80 nucleotides in length. Their secondary structure includes four short double-helical elements and three loops (D, anti-codon, and T loops). The record is from Rfam by way of RNAcentral. RNAcentral also lists the same sequence under 2 other names. Lineage: Eukaryota; Metazoa; Chordata; Mammalia; Artiodactyla; Camelidae.